ACAUUCCGCUUUAUGGUAUUUUUCCUUUAAAGAAAAUCCAAUUUAGGCGGAAGUGUUGUCCCUGAUCAGCGUGUCCGGACUGCACAGUCGAAUAAGGACGAUACUUAACGCACAGUCAUAAAGCCAGUUUUCCCAGAGCGAGGCUAAUUUGUAUAACUUUCUUUCUUUUAGCCGACGAUAGUCUCUGCAUCCGCAGUAUAAACUUCUCUGUCGACGGCAGAUUUAUCUCUAUAUAAGCUACGGAUCCCUCGAAUUUCAUAACACUGCCACACUGCAAGUAAUUCUUCCUUUGUUCGGGGUUUCACACAAAUCUUUAUCCAUGUAAAAUCUUUACAUGCAAUAACGAUUCAGAAGGCUUACAAACACAAGUUACGUAAAACAUUCCAGUUCUUCGUUUAAAAAUAAACAUAUAACAUUUAUUAAAUUAAUAAAUUCAAAAUAAUACAUAAAUACAUACAUACAUACAUAAAAAUAUAUACACAUAUAUAAAUAAAUACUAUGACUUUGGUUAAGAACAAAAAUGAUAUUUAUUCAACUACUCAUGGUUCGGCCUGUAUCAACGAUUGCGAUUACAAGAUGUGGCAUAUUUUCAUGGCAUCGUGCACCGCUCUUCGCGACAGGAGGAAGAUCGUCUGGAACACACAAAUGAUCUGAAAGGCGCGCGCACCGUUGACAUGGACGUGUUCCACUGGGCCACCAGGAUGCGUUGUUCGUGACCGGCAGUGCGGGAGAGGACUCGCCGAACAUAGUCGGCGUGUAUAAUGUCGGCAGACUGGAAUACCGCGCCAUCCGAGAACUUAAGGUGACCUGCAAUGCAAACACGAGGUUUUACGAAGCAGACAACAGAUCAGUGGUCAUGGAAAUUUACGAUAAGUUUUACUUGUUUGACCUUGAAAAGAUGGACGUCAGCAUCGUGUUUCCGGGUCGAGUAGUCGAGUGUGUAUCUUGACCAAACGGAAGCAACUCCUCGUGACGUCACGUUUUGUCACGUUUUGGCAAGAACGUGAAACUGUACAACAUCACAAACGGCCGCAUUGACGACACAAUAAAAACUGGGCACAAGAAGGAGAUCUACCAAGUUGUGGUCAGUUGUUAUACCUUUCUUAACAUUAUGUCAUAUGCCACCUGUACUGUACAAGUGUAGUAGCAAGCAGUGAACAUCUCAAAACUGUAUUGCAAAACUGUAAAAACAACAUUGUUUUUUAAUGUUGUG
Long non-coding RNA from Dreissena polymorpha, 1213 nucleotides. RefSeq lists it as uncharacterized. NCBI's taxonomy places the organism in Eukaryota, Metazoa, Mollusca, Bivalvia, Myida, Dreissenidae. The record is from RefSeq and is a predicted model, not a curated record. The transcript has 4 exons.